UGGUGAUAACGGGUAACGGGGAAUCAGGGUUCGAUUCCGGAGAGGGAGCCUGAGAAACCGCUACCACUUCCAAGGGAGGCAGCAGGCGCGCAAAUUACCCACUCCCAGUACGGGGAGGUGGUGACGAAAAAUACCGAUGCGGGACUCUUAUUGAGGCUCCGUAAUCGGAAUGAGUGAACUCUAAAUCCUUUCACGAGGAUCAAUUGGAGGGCAAGUCUGGUGCCAGCAGCCGCGGUAACUCCAGCUCCAAUAGCGUAUAUUAAAGUUGCUGCAGUUAAAAAGCUCGUAGUUGGAUCUCGGUAUCACUGUCGCCUGCCAGUCCUCGGCUGAUUGUGUCUGUGUGUGUAGGUGGGACCGUGCUCUGCGCGGCACCCCUCGCCCAGGCGCGGUUAUGCUCGAGUUGGCGUGGUGGUGGUGUCACCUUUCAGCCAUGUCUGUGGUGAAAUACCCGCAGGUGUAGGCGAGUGUCAGGCGGUGCUCUGCGACAGUAGGGUCCGUCGGCUCGUUUGCAUGCCUCUGGAUGCCCUUCAAAAGGUGUCUAUGGGCGGAUGGCACGUUUACUUUGAACAAAUUUGAGUGCUCAAACCAGGCCGAUGUUGCCUGAAAAGUUUUGCAUGGAAUAAUGGAAUAGGACUUCGGUUCUAUUUCGUUGGUUUUCGGAUCCGAAGUAAUGAUCAAAAGAGACAGGCGGGGACGUUUGUAUGGUUGCGCUAGAGGUGAAAUUCAUGGACCGUAACCAGACAAACUAAAGCGAAAGCAUUCGUCAAGCAUGUUUUCAUUGGCCAUGAGCGAAAGUCAGAGGCUCGAAGACGAUCAGAUACCGUCCUAGUUCUGACCAUAAACGAUGCCAACUUACGAUCCGUGGUGGUAGUAUUUUAACCAUCCCCACGGGCAGUCCCCGGGAAACCUUUAAGUCUUUGGGUUCCGGGGGAAGUAUGGUUGCAAAGCUGAAACUUAAAGGAAUUGACGGAAGGGCACCACCAGGAGUGGAGCCUGCGGCUUAAUUUGACUCAACACGGGAAAACUCACCCGGCCCGGACACUGUGAGGAUUGACAGAUUGAUAGCUCUUUCUUGAUUUGGUGGUUGGUGGUGCAUGGCCGUUCUUAGUUGGUGGAGCGAUUUGUCUGGUUAAUUCCGAUAACGAACGAGACUCUAGCCUGCUAAUUAGUACGCCUGUCCUCUGUUCCUGUGCUGGCGGUGCUUUGGCGAAACUGCUCACAUAUGUCGACUGCUAUCGGGACGCGUUCUUGCGUAUGCCGCGAGCUCCUCGUGGGCGAGUGGUGUGCGUAGGAGCGUGAACUGUGGUAGGAGGCGUGUGCGGUGGGUCCGGUGCUUGCCUCCGGGUACGGCGCAGGUGUGUCUACUUCUUAGAGGGACAAGCAUUACGAAUGUGUACGAAAUUGAGCAAUAACAGGUCUGUGAUGCCCUUAGAUGUCCGGGGCCGCACGCGCGCUACAAUGACGGUGCCAACGAGUCUGACCUUCUGGCCCGAAAGGGUUGGGCAAACUGGUCAAUCACCGUCAUGACAGGGAUCGGGGCUUGGAAUUGUUCCCCGUGAACGAGGAAUUCCUAGUAAGUGCAAGUCAUAAGCUUGCGCUGAUUACGUCCCUGCCCUUUGUACACACCGCCCGUCGCUACUACCGAUUGAAUGGUUUAGUAAGGUCCUCGGAUUGGCGCCA
This 1680-nucleotide ribosomal RNA is filed under the name Dibothriocephalus dendriticus. RNAcentral's name for it is "SSU rRNA". It matches the Rfam family "Eukaryotic small subunit ribosomal RNA", at positions 347 to 1723 of the family's 1831-position model. The record is from RNAcentral. Lineage: Eukaryota; Metazoa; Platyhelminthes; Cestoda; Diphyllobothriidea; Diphyllobothriidae.